RNAcentral lists this ribosomal RNA (1891 nucleotides) under marine metagenome. RNAcentral describes it as "bacterial LSU rRNA". It matches the Rfam family "Bacterial large subunit ribosomal RNA", at positions 456 to 2412 of the family's 2925-position model. The record is from RNAcentral.
AUCUGGUAGGCUAAAUACUCCUGAGAGACCGAUAGUGAACUAGUACCGUGAGGGAAAGGUGAAAAGAACCCUGAAUAAGGGAGUGAAAUAGAUCCUGAAACCAUACGCUUACAAGCGGUCGGAGCCCUUUUUGGGUGACGGCGUGCCUUUUGCAUAAUGAGCCUACGAGUUACCGUUGCUAGCAUGGCUAAUCCAUUCAGUGGAGAAACCGUAGCGAAAGCGAGUCUGAAUAGGGCGAUUAAGUUAGCAGUGGUAGACGCGAAACCGUGUGAUCUACCCAUGAGCAGGUUGAAGCUUUGUUAACCCAAAGUGGAGGACCGAACCCGUUGACGUUGAAAAGUCUUGGGAUGACUUGUGGGUAGGGGUGAAAGGCCAAUCAAACUCGGAAAUAGCUCGUACUCCCCGAAAUGCAUUUAGGUGCAGCGUUGUAAUAGUUAUAUAGAGGUAGAGCUACUGAUUGGAUGCGGGGGCUUCACCGCCUACCAAUUCCUGAUAAACUCCGAAUGCUAUAUAAUGUUUUACAGCAGUGAGGGCAUGGGUGCUAAGGUCCAUGUCCGAAAGGGAAAGAACCCGGACCAUCAGCUAAGGUCCCAAAGUGUAUACUAAGUUGAAUAAACGCGGUUUGACUGCAUAGACAGCUAGGAUGUUGGCUUGGAAGCAGCCAUUCAUUUAAAGAGUGCGUAACAGCUCACUAGUCGAGCGGUCGAGCAUGGAUAAUAAUCGGGCAUAAGUAUACCACCGAAGCUGUGGCUUUGUAUUUAUACAAGGGGUAGGGGAGCAUUCUAUAUGUGCUGAAGGUGAACUGUGAGGUUUUCUGGAGCGUAUAGAAAAGAAAAUGUAGGCAUAAGUAACGAUAAUGCGGGCGAGAAACCCGCACACCGAAAGACUAAGGUUUCCUCAGCUAUGCUAAUCAGCUGAGGGUUAGUCGGGACCUAACACAAACCCGAAAGGGGUAGUGGAUGGACAACCAGUUAAUAUUCUGGUACCUGCCGGCACUAAACGUGACGGAGUGGAAAAGUUAUUGCGUACUGACGGAAUAGUACGUUGAAAUAAUUGAAAAAUUAUGAUAGUACACCAAAACUUCGGUUGAGGUGAUAAUAUAGCAAAUCCACUUCCAAGAAAAGCAAGCCAGGCAGCCCGUACCGUAAACCGACACAGGUAGUUGGGAUGAGAAUUCUAAGGUGCUCGAGAGAUUCAUGGCUAAGGAACUAGGCAAAAUGGGCCCGUAACUUCGGGAGAAGGGUCGCCCACAGAAAUGUGGGCCGCAGUGAAAAGGUCCAGGCGACUGUUUAUCAAAAACACAGGACUCUGCUAAAUCGAAAGAUGACGUAUAGGGUCUGACACCUGCCCGGUGCCGGAAGGUUAAGUGGAGGGUUUAGCUUCGGCAAAGAUCUGAAAUGAAGCCCCGGUAAACGGCGGCCGUAACUAUAACGGUCCUAAGGUAGCGAAAUUCCUUGUCGGGUAAGUUCCGACCUGCACGAAUGGUGCAACGAUCUGGACACUGUCUCAGCCAUGAGCUCGGUGAAAUUGUAGUAUCGGUGAAGAUGCCGAUUACCCGCUACGGGACGAAAAGACCCCGUGCACCUUUACUAUAGCUUCGUAUUGACCUUGGAUAAGUAAUGUGUAGGAUAGGUGGGAGACUUUGAAGUGGCGUCGCCAGGCGUUGUGGAGUCGUUGUUGAAAUACCACCCUUUGCUUAUCUAGGGCCUAAUCCUUUAUUUUAAGGAAACAGUGCGUGGUGGGUAGUUUGACUGGGGUGGUCGCCUCCAAAAGAGUAACGGAGGCUUCUAAAGGUACCCUCAGCACGCUUGGUAACCGUGCGUAGAGUGCAAUGGCAUAAGGGUGCUUGACUGAGAGACUUACAAGUCGAUCAGGUUGGAAACCAAGAGCA